This 110-nucleotide ribosomal RNA is filed under the name Pseudogobio polystictus. RNAcentral describes it as "partial 16S rRNA". Lineage: Eukaryota; Metazoa; Chordata; Actinopteri; Cypriniformes; Gobionidae. The record is from RNAcentral.
GCCAAACAGCUAGCUUAAUUAUUAAUUUAACCAGACGAUAUCCCUAAAAAGACACAACCCACCUCUAGAAAUCAAACCAUUUUUUUACCUUAGUACGGGAGACGGAAAAG